Long non-coding RNA from Strongylocentrotus purpuratus (purple sea urchin), 716 nucleotides. RefSeq lists it as uncharacterized. NCBI's taxonomy places the organism in Eukaryota, Metazoa, Echinodermata, Echinoidea, Camarodonta, Strongylocentrotidae. The record is from RefSeq and is a predicted model, not a curated record. The transcript has 2 exons.
UAAGAACCCCAAACUCCCAAAACAAAAGACUUCCUGUCUCCCUCCCAACGAUAAGACCUUUUCUCUGAACAGAUCGUGUAUAGCUAGAACACUGUGAGAGUGUAACUGUUAUAAAAGAAGGCAGAGGUAUUUGUCAGAUUCACUCCUGCACUAGUACUGCACCCCCAUCCAUGGGGCAGGCAGGGAGGUCGACUCUGCAAGCUUGUUGUGUUACUUUGUACAUUAGGUGUUGACAAAUGACAAUUAACAUGAAAGAAGCGGGAAUAAUCGGAGGAAUUAAACGUCCUCUAGGCCAGAUUGCCAGGGUGAGUGGUUAUCAUAUUCAAUGUAUAAACCACUAAUUCAAUGUAGUUUUAAUUAGGAAUUAUGUUUGAUUGGACAAUCAUUGUUUUCAUUUAUUUGUUGGGAAAGUUAUCCAUAUAACGAUGGAAGAACUUUAUUUGUGAUUAUAGUUUCAUGCAAUAUUGAUUAAGUUAAUGGAAUAUAAACAACCUGUUUAUCAUCAUGAGUCGACUUGACGUCAUAUUGUUGGAAUUCGUAUCUUGGAGUCGUACACAAAUAAUAUGUUUAUUGCUAUUAUGUGUGUUUUUCAAACAUUUCCUCAUAUCUAUUUAAUUCUUUUAACUUUGUUUAUUUCUUCAGGUUUUACGGUUUUAUGGUUUAUGGUUUAACUGUAAAUUGCGUUGUACAUGAAAUAAAAAGAACCGCAACACAAA